CUGCCCACUGAAUUAUUUAAAUGGCCGCAGUAUUUUGACUGUGCAAAGGUAGCAUAAUCAUUAGUUUUUUAAUUAAAAGCUUGUAUGAAAGGUUGGACGAGGUAAAAUCUGUCUCUAUAUAAUUUAUUAUAGAAUUUUAUUUUUAAGUCAAAAAGCUUAAAUAUUUAUAAAAGACGAGAAGACCCUAUAGAUCUUUAUAAUUUUUUAUUAUAAUUAAUUAAGAUUAAUUAAGAUUAUAAUAAAAAAAUUAUUUUAUUGGGGUAAUAGAAAGAUUAAUAAAAUUCUUUUUUAUUUUAAACAUUAAUUUAUGGUUUUGUGAUCCAAUAAUAUUGAUUAUAAGAUUAAGUUACCUUAGGGAUAACAGCGUAAUUUUUUUAGAGAGUUCAUAUCGAUAAAAAAGUUUGCGACCUCGAUGUUGGAUUAAAGAUUAGUUUAGGUGUAGUAGUUUAAAUUUUUGGUCUGUUCGACCA
Molecule: ribosomal RNA, 470 nt
Filed under: Pasimachus californicus
Lineage: Eukaryota; Metazoa; Arthropoda; Insecta; Coleoptera; Carabidae
Description: 16S ribosomal RNA
Rfam family: Bacterial large subunit ribosomal RNA
Source: RNAcentral